Molecule: ribosomal RNA, 504 nt
Filed under: uncultured bacterium
Lineage: Bacteria
Description: partial 16S ribosomal RNA
Rfam family: Bacterial small subunit ribosomal RNA
Source: RNAcentral
AUUGAACGCUGGCGGCAUGCCUUACACAUGCAAGUCGAACGGCAGCAUGGAGAGCUUGCUCUCUGAUGGCGAGUGGCGAACGGGUGAGUAAUGCAUCGGAACGUACCGUGUAAUGGGGGGUAACGUAGCGAAAGUUACGCUAAUACCGCAUACGACCUGAGGGUGAAAGCAGGGGAUCGCAAGACCUUGCGUUAUACGAGCGGCCGAUGUCAGAUUAGCUAGUUGGUGAGGUAAAGGCUCACCAAGGCGACGAUCUGUAGCGGGUCUGAGAGGAGGCUCCGCCACACUGGGACUGAGACACGGCCCAGACUCCUACGGGAGGCAGCAGUGGGGAAUUUUGGACAAUGGGGGCAACCCUGAUCCAGCCAUGCCGCGUGAGUGAAGAAGGCCUUCGGGUUGUAAAGCUCUUUCGGCCGGGAAGAAAUCGCACAGGCUAAUACUCUGUGUGGAUGACGGUACCGGCAUAAGAAGCACCGGCUAACUACGUGCCAGCCGCCGCAGUAA